CGGACUUAGCGGCGGACGGGUGAGUAACGCGUGGGAACAUACCCUUUGGUACGGAAUAGCCUCGGGAAACUGAGAGUAAUACCAUAUACGCCCUUCGGGGGAAAGAUUUAUCGGAGAAAGAUCGGCCCGCGUUAGAUUAGAUAGUUGGUGGGGUAAUGGCCUACCAAGUCUACGAUCUAUAGCUGGUUUGAGAGGAUGAUCAGCAACACUGGGACUGAGACACGGCCCAGACUCC
RNAcentral lists this ribosomal RNA (235 nucleotides) under uncultured bacterium. Its description in RNAcentral is "partial 16S ribosomal RNA". It matches the Rfam family "Bacterial small subunit ribosomal RNA", at positions 87 to 339 of the family's 1533-position model. The record is from RNAcentral.